This 451-nucleotide ribosomal RNA is filed under the name uncultured soil bacterium. RNAcentral describes it as "bacterial SSU rRNA". It matches the Rfam family "Bacterial small subunit ribosomal RNA", at positions 26 to 518 of the family's 1533-position model. The record is from RNAcentral.
AGAACGAACGCUGGCGGCAGGCUUAACACAUGCAAGUCGAGCGCCUCGCAAGAGGAGCGGCAGACGGGUGAGUAACGCGUGGGAAUCUACCGUGCCCUGCGGAAUAGCUCCGGGAAACUGGAAUUAAUACCGCAUACGCCCAUCUUUGGUAGACAUUGGUGGGGAAAGAUUUAUCGGGGUAUGAUGAGCCCGCGUUGGAUUAGCUAGUUGGUGGGUAAAGCCUACAAGGCACGAUCCAUAGCUGGUCUGAGAGGAUGAUCAGCCACAUUGGGACUGAGACACGGCCCAAACUCCUACGGGAGGCAGCAGUGGGAAUAUUGGACAAUGGGCGCAAGCCUGAUCCAGCCAUGCGCGUGAGUGAUGAAGGCCUAGGGUGUAAAGCUACUUCACCGGUGAAGAUAAUGAACGGUAACCGGAGAAGAAGCCCGGCUAACUCGUCGCCAGCAGCCGC